CAGUCGCCGCGGUAAUACGAAGGGGGCUAGCGUUGUUCGGAUUUACUGGGCGUAAAGCGCACGUAGGCGGACUUUUAAGUCAGGGGUGAAAUCCCGGGGCUCAACCCCGGAACUGCCUUUGAUACUGGAAGUCUUGAGUAUGGUAGAGGUGAGUGGAAUUCCGAGUGUAGAGGUGAAAUUCGUAGAUAUUCGGAGGAACACCAGUGGCGAAGGCGGCUCACUGGACCAUUACUGACGCUGAGGUGCGAAAGCGUGGGGAGCAAACAGGAUUAGAUACCCCCGUAGUCCCUGUCUCUUAUAU
Molecule: ribosomal RNA, 301 nt
Filed under: uncultured bacterium
Lineage: Bacteria
Description: partial 16S ribosomal RNA
Rfam family: Bacterial small subunit ribosomal RNA
Source: RNAcentral